AGACAAUAAAAACGAACGUGAUUGGCACGCUAAAUAUGCUUGGUCUUGCAAAGAGAGUUGGCGCAAGAGGUAUACGGUGAUCCUCUUGUGCAUCCUCAACCUGAGACUUACUGGGGUAACGUCAACCCAAAUGGAACAACUACGACUUCUACAACUAAUGGCACACCAUAUUGGAUACCCGAUGUUGAUGCUGAAUACAUGCCUAUUAUAAACAUUACGUUUAACCAUUGGGAGGAUGUUGAUU
Helianthus annuus (common sunflower) is the source of this 244-nucleotide long non-coding RNA. RefSeq lists it as uncharacterized. The record is from RefSeq and is a predicted model, not a curated record. Lineage: Eukaryota; Viridiplantae; Streptophyta; Magnoliopsida; Asterales; Asteraceae. The transcript has 3 exons.